RNAcentral lists this ribosomal RNA (493 nucleotides) under uncultured bacterium. Its description in RNAcentral is "bacterial SSU rRNA". It matches the Rfam family "Bacterial small subunit ribosomal RNA", at positions 34 to 518 of the family's 1533-position model. The record is from RNAcentral.
CGCUAGCGACAGGCUUAACACAUGCAAGUCGAGGGGCAGCACGGGAGUAGCAAUACAACUGGUGGCGACCGGCGCACGGGUGAGUAACGCGUAUGCAACCUACCUAUCAGAGGGGAAUAACCCGGCGAAAGUCGGACUAAUACCGCAUAAAACAGGGGCACCGCAUGGUGAUAUUUGUUAAAGAAAUUCGCUGAUAGAUGGGCAUGCGUUCCAUUAGGUAGUUGGUGAGGUAACGGCUCACCAAGCCGACGAUGGAUAGGGGAACUGAGAGGUUGGUCCCCCACACUGGUACUGAGACACGGACCAGACUCCUACGGGAGGCAGCAGUGAGGAAUAUUGGUCAAUGGGCGAGAGCCUGAACCAGCCAAGUCGCGUGAAGGAAGAAGGAUCUAUGGUUCGUAAACUUCUUUUGCAGGGGAAUAAAGUGCGGGACGUGUCCUGUUUUGUAUGUACCCUGAGAAUAAGGAUCGGCUAACUCCGUGCCAGCAGCCGC